This 67-nucleotide transfer RNA is filed under the name Marmota monax (woodchuck). RNAcentral describes it as "tRNA.Ile". Lineage: Eukaryota; Metazoa; Chordata; Mammalia; Rodentia; Sciuridae. The record is from RNAcentral.
GGUUAUGGCUCAGUGGCAGAGUGCUUGCUUUAUACAUGUGAGGCACUGGGUUCGAACCUCAGCACCA